UCCCUGGUGGCUCAGACGGUAAAGCGUCUGUAUGCAAUGCAGGAGACCUGGGUUCUAUCCCUAGGUUGGGAA
Non-coding RNA from Bos taurus (domestic cattle), 72 nucleotides. The record is from Rfam. Lineage: Eukaryota; Metazoa; Chordata; Mammalia; Artiodactyla; Bovidae.